AGAUCGAGGUAAUCUCCGCGGUGAGGGAGGAGGCUCUUGGGUUGUAAACCUCUUUUCUCAGGGAAGAACAAAAUGACGGUACCUGAGGAAUAAGCAUCGGCUAACUCCGUGCCAGCAGCCGCGGUAAUACGGAGGAUGCAAGCGUUAUCCGGAAUGAUUGGGCGUAAAGCGUCCGCAGGUGGCAUUGCAAGUCUGCUGUCAAAGGUCAGGGCUUAACCCUGAAAAGGCAGUGGAAACUGAAAUGCUGGAGUGCGGUAGGGGUAAAGGGAAUUCCCGGUGUAGCGGUGAAAUGCGUAAAGAUCGGGAAGAACACCAGUGGCGAAGGCGCUCUACUAGGCCGCAACUGACACUCAUGGACGAAAGCUAGGGGAGCGAAUGGGAUUAGAUACCCCAGUAGUCA
RNAcentral lists this ribosomal RNA (400 nucleotides) under Chroococcidiopsis sp. PC3. RNAcentral describes it as "bacterial SSU rRNA". It matches the Rfam family "Bacterial small subunit ribosomal RNA", at positions 380 to 796 of the family's 1533-position model. Lineage: Bacteria; Bacillati; Cyanobacteriota; Cyanophyceae; Chroococcidiopsidales; Chroococcidiopsidaceae. The record is from RNAcentral.